RNAcentral lists this small RNA (68 nucleotides) under Arabidopsis thaliana (thale cress). Its description in RNAcentral is "ATSL162710". Lineage: Eukaryota; Viridiplantae; Streptophyta; Magnoliopsida; Brassicales; Brassicaceae. The record is from RNAcentral.
UUAAAACCCAAAGUAGUGUUUCCUUGUUAGAAGAUACAAAGCAAAAGACGCAUGUGGACUUUGGUAAC